RNAcentral lists this ribosomal RNA (406 nucleotides) under uncultured bacterium. RNAcentral describes it as "partial 16S ribosomal RNA". It matches the Rfam family "Bacterial small subunit ribosomal RNA", at positions 29 to 526 of the family's 1533-position model. The record is from RNAcentral.
AUUGAACGCUGGCGGCAGGCUUAACACAUGCAAGUCGAGCGAGCGGCGGACGGGUGAGCAAUGUCUGGGAAACUGCCUGAUGGAGGGGGAUCACUACCGGAAACGGUAGCCAAUACCGCAUACCAUAAGAUGUGCCCAGGUGGGAUGAGGGAGGAGGUGGGGUAAUGGUUCACCUAGGCGACUAUCCCUAACUGGUCUGAGAGGAUGACCAGCCACACUGGAACUGAGACACGGUCCAGACUCCGACGGGAGGCAGCAGUGGGGAAUAUUGGACAAUGGGCGAAAGCCUGAUGCAGCCAUGCCGCGUGUGUGAAGAAGGCCGUCGGGUUGUAAAGCACUUUCAGCGGGGAGGCGUUACUCGCAGAAUAAGCACCGGCUAACUCCGUGCCAGCAGCCGCGGUAAUUC